This 429-nucleotide ribosomal RNA is filed under the name Acidobacteriota bacterium. RNAcentral describes it as "Acidobacteria bacterium partial 16S ribosomal RNA". It matches the Rfam family "Bacterial small subunit ribosomal RNA", at positions 355 to 776 of the family's 1533-position model. The record is from RNAcentral. Lineage: Bacteria; Pseudomonadati; Acidobacteriota.
UGGGGAAUUUUGGACAAUGGGGGAAACCCUGAUCCAGCCAUCCCGCGUGUGCGAUGAAGGCCUUCGGGUUGUAAAGCACUUUUGGCAGGAAAGAAACGUCAUGGGUUAAUACCCCGUGAAACUGACGGUACCUGCAGAAUAAGCACUGGCUAACUACGUGCCAGCAGCCGCGGUAAUACGUAGGGUGCAAGCGUUAAUCGGAAUUACUGGGCGUAAAGCGUGCGCAGGCGGUUCGGAAAGAAAGAUGUGAAAUCCCAGAGCUCAACUUUGGAACUGCAUUUUUAACUACCGGGCUAGAGUGUGUCAGAGGGAGGUGGAAUUCCGCGUGUAGCAGUGAAAUGCGUAGAUAUGCGGAGGAACACCGAUGGCGAAGGCAGCCUCCUGGGAUAACACUGACGCUCAAGCACGAAAGCGUGGGGAGCAAACAGG